RNAcentral lists this ribosomal RNA (272 nucleotides) under uncultured bacterium. RNAcentral's name for it is "partial 16S ribosomal RNA". It matches the Rfam family "Bacterial small subunit ribosomal RNA", at positions 1064 to 1337 of the family's 1533-position model. The record is from RNAcentral.
GUCGUGAGAUGUUGGGUUAAGUCCCGCAACGAGCGCAACCCUUGUCUUUAAUUGCCAUCAUUCAGUUGGGCACUUUAAAGAGACUGCCGGUGUCAAACCGGAGGAAGGUGGGGACGACGUCAAAUCAUCAUGCCCCUUACGACCUGGGCUACACACGUGCUACAAUGGGUACAACAAAGGGAUGCGAAAUCGCAAGAUGGAGCGAAACCCAGAAAAGUACUCUCAGUUCAGAUUGUGGGCUGCAACCCGCCCACAUGAAGUUGGAGUUGCUA